RNAcentral lists this long non-coding RNA (1313 nucleotides) under Monodelphis domestica (gray short-tailed opossum). Its description in RNAcentral is "lncRNA (ENSMODG00000038660.1)". Lineage: Eukaryota; Metazoa; Chordata; Mammalia; Didelphimorphia; Didelphidae. The record is from RNAcentral.
AUGACUGCUUCAAAGAUCAAUGGAAGAAUUGGACCAGUUGUGACAACUAAGAGUGCUCCAGAGGAAAGGAGAGGUGAACAUGGCUUGGAGAAGACUAAAAACCAGGGUGGUGGCCUAGAGAAUCUGGCCCAGGUUCCUGAAGGAAGCCAAGUAGUAGGAUGGAUCAGAGAAAAAGUCCACUGCAGAAACAACUCCAAAGAUGAGAUAACCAAGCGCCAGAGCACCAGGAGGACAACCAGCUCCAUCUGUUCUAGGUCACAUAGCCAUUGAGUGGCAGAGCCAUCAUUUGAGCACAGAUUCCAUGACUCCUAAGGGUGUGAGAAGAAUGAUGCCACUCAGGAGGUGACCCAAAGGGAGGUGGCAGCCUGGAGAAUCCUGCAGGGUAAGGAGAAGGGAGGCUCACCAAGCAGAGCUCAGAGUGAUGGGCUGGCAAUAGUGGCAGGCCUGGAUUAUAAAGACCCAACAUCAAACCCAACUCCUCCCUCAGGAGGCUGUCCCAGCCUUUCCCUGGCUCUGACUCUCAGCACAUCUGUCCUCUCUCAGCACAUCUGUCCUCCCACCAGCUUUGGACUAUAGAGGCAGCAGCCUCUCUGGCCAAGUUAGAACACUGAGGAGAUCUGGGUUCUAGUGUCAGCUCUGCUAACUGUCACUGGGUCCAUCCUUGUGUGUCUCCCUGUCCUGCCCUGUAACAGGAGGGCAUGAGGACUUUCCCCAUCAAUACCACCCCAUUCAGAUCUGCUGAGAGCUGCUGGUAUUGGGAGGGUCUGAGGGUCCUUCAGGUCACAAAGGGUUUGUGCGAUAAUGAAGCCAAAGUCAGGAAGUCACAGGGACCACACUGGCCUUGGCUGCUUCCUUGGUCAAAUUCCUCACGUCCAUCCCAUCCCCUUUCCCCCUUUGGUCCCAAUGGAAGCCAUUGGAGAAAGUAGGAUGGAGAAGAGGAAAGUCCAUGAGAAAAACAACUCCAUAGAAAUACAGAAGAAAAACAUUUGUUUGAUCAUAUGGUGUGAUGGGGAUAGGUUUGGGGAUGUAGACUCACACUAGUGUAAACGUCAAUAAUAUGGAAAGAGGUGUCUUGAUCAGUGACACACUUAAAAGUCAGGGGAAUUGCCCAUUGUGAAUGGGAGGAGGGAGGGAAAGGGGAGGGAAGGGAAAGAACAUGAAUAAUGUAACCAUGGAAAGUAGACAAUGGCUGGGACUGGAGCUCUCUGGCCCUCUGUUCUCUUUCCCAAAUUGAGUCCCAGGAAAUUGUGUGACUUUGGGCAAAAUGCUCCCUCUCUCUUGGCCAUGUUUCUGCCAGUUAUAAAGAUAGAGAA